CUCACUUUUAUAGACCAACUGUGCUCUGAGAGAGACAGAAUGCCAUUUCAUUUUAUCACUUGGUUGCUAUAUUUUCAGAUUUUUUCUUUCUCCAUUUUCCACUUCUUGGUCAUUUCCUGCAGAUAAAGGGAAGUCCCCAGGCUAAGUCAGAUGAAGACUCUUGUCCUUUUUUAAUAGGGUGUCCAAGAUGACACACCCGAAGGAUACACACACACACCAACACCCCACACACAUACACACACACAUACACACACCCUCUUCUACUACACAUAUGUUCAUGCACACACAAACACGUUCCCCACACACUCACACCUCCUACACACACACCCAGAAACACACACAGAAACAAACACACCUGCUCCCACACCAACCAAAGCCAAAAGGCAUGAAAGGCUCACAGCCUUGAGCCUUGGAAAUUGAAACUUGUUCCUCCACUUAGACUUUUUCCAACAGGCAGCCUCUCCCCUCUGCCCACAGAGGAGGCCAGUGGAGCUGCCAAGUCAGCUCAAAGGUGAGCCUGGUAAAAAGCCCUCCUCUCCUGAACGAGUCAUGCCCCAUGUAGACACGGUGCCAGGGCUGUGUGGAGGAGCAAAUGUUUCUCUAAUCUCUCCAGGGAUUUUUAAUUUAAGGCAAGAGAUAAAGCAUGUGCAUGAUACUUCACCAAGUUUCCAUGGGAAAAUGCAUUGUGGGAGAUAAGCACAGUCUUGCCAGGGCUCUGGACGCUGAGAGGAGGCACAGAAACCUCCUGGCUGGGGGAAGCGUGCUGUGUGUGGUUCUGGCCAGGCUCCUGAGGAACAGGUCCCAUCUGAUGGAGGAGAAUCAAUUCAAGGAGAUGCCCUCCCUUUACAGUACACCCUUUAACAGCAUCCAGGAGGAACGAGAGGCUGCAAUGCUGAGGCUUUCAAAGUAUUUACCAGGAUGCCCAAGAACGGCCGUGAUGCCAGGCUUCUGGCAGGUUCCAGGCUCCAUCACAAGCCCAGCAUCUCUGCACCAGAUCUGA
RNAcentral lists this long non-coding RNA (1000 nucleotides) under Papio anubis (olive baboon). RNAcentral describes it as "lncRNA (ENSPANG00000048423.1)". The record is from RNAcentral. Lineage: Eukaryota; Metazoa; Chordata; Mammalia; Primates; Cercopithecidae.